CCCUUAGAUGUUCUGGGCCGCACGCGCGCUACACUGACGAAUGCAACGAGCUUAUAACCUUGGCCGAAAGGUCUGGGUAAUCUCCAAAUUUCGUCGUGAUGGGGAUAGAUUAUUGCAAUUAUUAAUCUUCAACGAGGAAUGCCUAGUAAGCGCAAGUCAUCAGCUUGCGUUGAUUACGUCCCUGCCCUUUGUACACACCGCCCGUCGCUCCUACCGAUGAAUCGUUCGGUGAAGUUCAUGGAGGGGCGGUUGUUUCAGCUGCCGUCGAAGUGAAAUGGACCUGACGAUUUAGAGGAAGGAGAAGUCGUAACA
Molecule: ribosomal RNA, 312 nt
Filed under: uncultured eukaryote
Lineage: Eukaryota
Description: partial 18S ribosomal RNA
Rfam family: Eukaryotic small subunit ribosomal RNA
Source: RNAcentral